AGUUCCUGUCCUGGGCUCAGGUGAGGCCGACUUCCCAUGUUCAUUGACACUGUAGCCCCCUAGAAGGAAAGUCAUGGCCUAUUGGGAGAAGAGACCUAAAAUGACUCCUUGUUCUGACACAGAGGGAUGCUUCCUAUAAAGACUUCUAUCUAUUAGUGAUCUAAAAUGAGACUGACUCUUGGUCCAGCUGUGACAGACUAAUUCAGAUGAAGGAAACCAGAAGAGACCAUCUUGGUGUUGUUAUUUAAUUUGAAGCUGAAAACAUCCACUGUGGUUGCCAAAGUUGGAGAAAGCAUAAAGAACCAGCCCAAGUACUACUACUGCAAGUAGUGUUGGCAGGUGUGGUCUCACACGUUCAAUGGACCUCUCACUUCAUGGAGAAAUAAAUACGUGAGAAUAAAAGGAUCUGCCCUAUCUCCUUGGUCAUUAUGCACAAAUAAAAAACUAUUCUGUGA
Monodelphis domestica (gray short-tailed opossum) is the source of this 455-nucleotide long non-coding RNA. RefSeq lists it as uncharacterized. Lineage: Eukaryota; Metazoa; Chordata; Mammalia; Didelphimorphia; Didelphidae. The record is from RefSeq and is a predicted model, not a curated record.